This 326-nucleotide ribosomal RNA is filed under the name Neogloboquadrina pachyderma. RNAcentral's name for it is "bacterial SSU rRNA". The record is from RNAcentral. Lineage: Eukaryota; Foraminifera; Rotaliida; Globorotaliidae.
UUGACAGGCAAUAUCUCAUGUUUAAUAACCGUUAUUAACUAUCGCGUUAUUUAAUACAUCGAGUGUAAAUAUGCUAGUCCUUUCAUGAUUAUGUGAUAGGUGGGCAUGGCCGUUCUUAGUUCGUGGAGUGAUCUGUCUGCUUAAUUGCGUUUCACUAAGGGCCCAAAAUUCAAGGUAUGUUAGCUAUCUGUCGCUCUAUGGACCCCUUAACCGAGUUAAAUCGAGUUAAGCGCGCGUCUUUAUUUAAAGAGUUUAAGACAUUGCGCAUGCUGUUGGGCUCUGAAAGCAACGAACGUGACCGCAACGUCUUGUUGCCUUAAUAAAGC